RNAcentral lists this ribosomal RNA (277 nucleotides) under uncultured bacterium. Its description in RNAcentral is "partial 16S ribosomal RNA". It matches the Rfam family "Bacterial small subunit ribosomal RNA", at positions 32 to 321 of the family's 1533-position model. The record is from RNAcentral.
AAUCAACGCUGGCGGCGCGCUUAACACAUGCAAGUCGAACGAGAAAGUCCGCAAGGAUGAGUAAAGUGGCGCACGGGUGAGUAACACGUGGAUUAUCUACCUUCUAGUGGGGGAUAACUCUGGGAAACCGGAGCUAAUACCGCAUAAGCUCGAGAGAGGAAAGCAGCAAUGCGCUGGAAGAGGAGUCCGCGGCCGAUUAGCUAGUUGGUAGGGUAACGGCCUACCAAGGCGAUGAUCGGUAGCCGGCCUGAGAGGGCACACGGCCACACUGGCACUG